UAUACAAAUCAGCGACCAAAUAUCGUCCAUCAGUUGAGGUUAGAUUUAGUUGGAGUGGGUGACUUACAUACCAAAAUCCACUUAAUCACAAAUUAUGGACCGUUGUGUUACCACGGAUCUGCAAAUUCGGGACACUAUUGCUCAAAAUGUUUAAAUAUAAGAUAUGAAUUACUCUUAGCAAUGCGCCGGUUGAUUCUAAUAUACAUAACCCUCUACCCAAAAAUUACGGGGAAUGGCGAAUGAAAACUCCGUUAUCUAAUAAGGACGUUUAUUUAUCUACCAACUUGCGUAGUGCUUGAAACAUACUGUUUAAGGACGCGCUUAACGAAGCAACAAGCUGCCAUAUAGAGGCGUUAAAGGAAUUGUGGAAAAAUUUAGUUUAUAACACUACGAAACUUUUAACUAAGAUUAUAACAUUGACGGUCGACUGUUUAAGAUAAAAACUGAUCGCUGUUUUCAAAGUUAUAUUCGCCACCAAUCACCUAAUCAUGUAAGCAGCAGCCGAAGUACACACUUGCUUAUAUCGUUUGCAGCACUCAAUGAUAUCGAUAGGGUCAGCAAAUCGACUAAAAUAUUAAUAAUCUAAAAAUAAUAAAAUGACAAAUAACAUCUGCACUACACAUAAUGGUUCCAAGAACGGUCAGGUCUUCGUCCCGGAGUCACUCGUCGCCAGCGACGACCAAAUGCCCUCAACACCUCCCAAAGGAACUUCACUAGCAGGUUUCAGCGGAUUACAAGAACAAAACAUAAUGACUUGAAUAUCGAAAACAAACAAAUCAAAGAACACAAAAAGCAGGUGACAUUACGAUGAUUAGUAACGACGAAAUUAAACAGAUCACAAACUAAAUGAGUGUUUGUCUUAAAAGCAUCUUUAUGUAACGAGCUAUUCUGUUUACCUGCUGUUAUUGUUGUUGUAACUCGCUAGGUCCUGAAAGCAGAUACCAUAAAAGAUUUACAAGACGAUCAACCCGGGUCCCGACGGAUAAAUCUGGCCAUUUCAAUGCGUUGCGUCCAAAGGUCAAGUAGACGGAGGUUUGUGUGUGCAGUAAGACAAGAUAACAAAUGCUCGACGUUAUGACGGUAGAACUGCAGUUUGGGCACAAUUUAGGAAUAGACGUGGUUAUGUUCACCUGCGUAGAUCUUUGGUUUACACAAUAAUUAUUGGAGCAGUAAAGUUCUAAAUUGAUAAAAAUGGGCAGAACUUUAUUUCAAAUUCCCUAUUUUUAAUUAUGAAGCGAAAUAUUAUAAAACGAUCUAUAAGGCAUUAGAUAGCUGAUGCUUUAGAUUGAAACCGAUUAUUGAUUAUGGAUGUAUCAAUUUUCUUAUUAAAAGAAAACAUAAUUUUUGGUUUAAUAAGUACGAGUCUAUCAGACCAAAUCAAACCAGCUGUUUUAUUUAAACGAAAUAUUUUGUUGUUGAGGUUGUUAAUAUAAUUUAAGCUGGCGAUAUUUCACGGGAGUCUACCAUAAUACACAGUUGUUAGUAAAAAUACAUAUAUUUCCUGAAAUAUAUCUUUUUUACAUUGGCGUGUAAGAAACAAAAUCUUGAAUAGUGUUUCUACACGUUGGAUCAUAAUCAAUUUCACUGUUCAUGCGACUUUUUGUACGUUAAUAUAUAACCGAUUUUUGGGCUUAAUACAACGAUCAUUUACAUUACACUAAGAGUGUCAACUAGCGACUAUACAAUUAAUUUGUCAACAACAAUAUUAAUAAGCAUAUCAUCUAUAUAAUCAGCAUUACACAAAACAUAAUCUACAUAAUGUGAAAUAUCUUCUACUAUGUAAUAGCUUAUAAGCAGUAUGUCAUAUAGAAUAUAAGUUUAGGAUCAUCCUAAUAGAGUAGUAGAUAGACUUGCAUUUUGCUAUAGGCAACGAAAUAUGCAAAUAUCAUCUUUCUUUUAUGUUAUUUUGAAAGUAUUUUUUUUUUUUGUUUUUUCUCUCGAAGUAAUGAAGACUUAUUCAAUUGCUUGUAUGAGCCUGUGCUCAGAUUAAAUAAUUCAUUAACUGACAUAAUACUUUUUUUAGUAGAAAUUUUUAUAGAGUUCUAGGGCUCAAGCUGAGGUUGCUUAGAAUAAUUUAAUAUGGAACUCUAUUUCGUUCUGGACUUAUAUCCAUAUACUAGAAGCUAUCCAUAGGUUAGCGCUAAAAUGAUUACUUUCCUGCAAUAAGAUUUGGCUAUAGCUGUAGCAAUAUAUGUUGUGUUCGCAAUUGGAUUGAUUAAUUGUUUCACUUGCAAAAUUCGAUUCUUCAUAUGUUUGAGCUAACAUAUUUCUGCAGUCGUUGUACCUUUUCAGGAUUUACAAAUUUUUUG
Teleopsis dalmanni is the source of this 2309-nucleotide long non-coding RNA. RefSeq lists it as uncharacterized. The transcript has 4 exons. Lineage: Eukaryota; Metazoa; Arthropoda; Insecta; Diptera; Diopsidae. The record is from RefSeq and is a predicted model, not a curated record.